Hippocampus zosterae (dwarf seahorse) is the source of this 819-nucleotide long non-coding RNA. RefSeq lists it as uncharacterized. The record is from RefSeq and is a predicted model, not a curated record. The transcript is spliced from 2 exons. NCBI's taxonomy places the organism in Eukaryota, Metazoa, Chordata, Actinopteri, Syngnathiformes, Syngnathidae.
GUUGGGCACUGAAUGCUAAUGCUAAACCACUGCAGAACAAAUGUAUCAUCUGGAAGCUGAAAGUUGACCAUGAAUGGCUGCUACCCCUUCAUGCUUUCACGUCCACACUCAGACGUGCACUUGAUCCACUCAUCAACUUGUUCUCCUUUUUCCUGCAGUGGGAGAUGAUACGAUCAGUUUAAUAGGACGGUGUGUGUGUGUGCUGCUCGGUAUAUCUGUGGAGGACAUCCACACAGAUGACGAGUACAUCAUACGCAAGAUCCUGAACCUGCGGCUGUUUGAAGAUGAGAAUGGUCGGGCUUGGAGCAAAAGUGUCAUGGACCGGGACUAUGAGGUUCUGUGUGUGAGCCAGUUUACACUACAGUGCAUACUGAAGGGCAACAAGCCGGACUUCCACUUGACGAUGCCCGCAGAAUUGGCCCAACCUUUCUAUGCCAGCAUCCUGGAGAACAUGAGGAGUGCCUAAAGGGAACUGGUGAAAAGUUGGGUCAACUAAUGACACCUUCACUUGGUAUGUUCUAAUAAAGUUUGACAUAACAUAAUAUUUGGAAAAAGAUUGCCUAAGUGUUAACCACUGGGUGUUUCCAAAUGCGCUGGUUAAAGGUGGGUCAACUAAGGACACCUUCAUACGGUAUGUUCUGAUAUAAUUUGGCAUUACAGACUAAUUGGUAAAAGAUAAUAUAUGCCCGAAAAGUGUUACCCUCUGAGCAUUUACACAUGCACUCAGUGGAGUCAAAAUUACAAUAGGCUCACAGUCUAAUUAAAUUACAGACAUGAGCUUUUUCAUUGACUGAAAUACUGUAAUUAUUUUACUUUUUU